This 490-nucleotide ribosomal RNA is filed under the name uncultured delta proteobacterium. RNAcentral's name for it is "bacterial SSU rRNA". It matches the Rfam family "Bacterial small subunit ribosomal RNA", at positions 30 to 509 of the family's 1533-position model. Lineage: Bacteria; Deltaproteobacteria. The record is from RNAcentral.
UUGAACGCUGGCGGCGUGCUUAACACAUGCAAGUCGAACGAAUUUUAGAAGCUUGCUUCUAAAAUUAGUGGCGCACGGGUGAGUAACGCGUGGAUGAUCUACCCUUGAGUUUGGAAUAACAGUGGGAAACUGCUGCUAAUACUGAAUAACAUCACAAUUCAACCUGUGAUCAAAGGCGGUGCAAGCUGUCGCUUGGGGAUGAGUCCGCGUCUCAUUAGCUAGUUGGUGGGGUAAAGGCCUACCAAGGCAACGAUGAGUAGCCGGUCUGAGAGGAUGAUCGGCCACACUGGGACUGGAACACGGCCCAGACUCCUACGGGAGGCAGCAGUGGGGAAUAUUGCGCAAUGGGCGAAAGCCUGACGCAGCGACGCCGCGUGAGGGAUGAAGGUUCUCGGAUCGUAAACCUCUGUCAGAAGGAAAGAACCACUAAGGGAGUAACUGCCCUUAGCCUGACGGUACCUUCAAAGGGAGCACCGGCUAACUCCGUGCC